CUAUCUAAUAUUUGAGACCAUUCAGGUAAAUGAUAUCAAUUUACACUAGUACAAAAACUGUCUUUAAUAAAAAAAAAAAAAAAAAAAAAAAAAAAAAAAAACACCUCUAUAUCUAAAUAAUCGAGGUCCCGAAUUUAAAGAAAUUUAAUUCCCGACAUCCCGAAAUUAGAAAAAAUAAAUCUUGGAUCCCGAAAGGGUCAAUCCCGAAAUCAGGCCCGAGCUUAAAAACACCCGAUCCCGACGUCCCGAAAAAGUCCUGCCCCUCCCUCUGCCAUGUAGUUAUCAAAAUUUUCGUGUUUAUGCUGCAUACAUCAGAUUUUUUUUUUUCUUUCUCGAUACUCAAUCAAACAACUCAGACUAAAUGAUCUUAUUAAACAUAUUGCGGAUAGCCAUUUAAUAAAAAAAAGUAUAGAAACUAACUAACUAAUUUUAUUCAGACUGAGUAUAAAACCCAGCACAAAAGGAUCAUCGCUGAAAAACAUGAGCACAUAUCAUACAAAAAAUUAUCAGUUUCCCUUUAUGAGGGGGGAUAGGAGGGGUCUUGAUCCCGAAAUCCCGGACUUGAAAAAAAAAUCCCGAGGUCCCGAAUUUAAAUAAAGCAAAUCCCGACAUCCCGAAAUCCGAAAAAAAGGAUUCCCGGAUCCCGAAAGGGUCAAUCCCGAAAUCCCGAGUUUAAAAACACCCGAUCCCGGAGUCCCGAUAAAGGUCCUAUUCCCCC
Molecule: long non-coding RNA, 718 nt
Filed under: Mytilus galloprovincialis (Mediterranean mussel)
Lineage: Eukaryota; Metazoa; Mollusca; Bivalvia; Mytilida; Mytilidae
Source: RNAcentral